Long non-coding RNA from Dermacentor silvarum, 874 nucleotides. RefSeq lists it as uncharacterized. The transcript has 3 exons. The record is from RefSeq and is a predicted model, not a curated record. NCBI's taxonomy places the organism in Eukaryota, Metazoa, Arthropoda, Arachnida, Ixodida, Ixodidae.
AAGCAGUAUGAGAUUGCUGUGAAAGGUUUGUUCGGUAAGCGCAUUUCAGUCACCUUACGCCUUAAGUCAGGGGUGAUUAUAUUGAUCACAUUUUGCACUUGUUCGGUUACCUAUGAACAUGCCCGGAAAAAGCUAAAUGACAGUCAGUUUCAUUCAGACCUGGCCAGUGAAACUGAAAUGCCCCCAUUGAAGAGGCGUAGACGGCUACCAGCAGUCUGGAGCGACUCUGACAGUGAAGAGGAAGAGGAAGACUCUGCCACAAGCCAGCCAGGACUGCCACCCAUCCCAAAUAAUUUUCCAUGUAGAAUAACCUCGAGUGAAGCAACACGUCUGCCCACAUUUGGCCAGGGAGACAAAGGCACAGCAGGGACCCAGCUGUCACAGACAAACUCGCGACAAGGUACGUCUGAUAACCACUCUGUUGAUGCAGGUAUGUGCCAGAUAAGGGAGGUCAAAAUUAAAUAUAUCAUUAGCAAGUUACUCCAAACUACUAAUGAAUUGAAAUUGUGCUUUUCAGGUAAACAGACAGUGCAGAAUGGCCACAAAACUCACCUCAUGAUUGUUGUAUAGAGAAGAGUACGCACCUUUUGAAAGAUAUGAAUGCAGUUUUCAGUAAAAUGGUUUGCUUAAAAUGUUCUUGAACCCUAAAUUUUAAUAGCGUUUAUUUACGAUAUUUUUCAGACUUAGAGCAGCAUGUACUACGACUGCUGAACACGCUUCGCUUCAUGCUGGAACAACAAGCGGACACCUUGAACAAGUUGUGCGAUAUACUUCCUACUUCUUCAGUCACCGAAUGCGCAGAGCUCUUAGGCCAUCCGCUAAGCAGCCUUGAAGAACUACAAGACUUUGACGACAAGCUCGAUGCUGGAAAAUU